Molecule: ribosomal RNA, 587 nt
Filed under: uncultured bacterium
Lineage: Bacteria
Description: bacterial SSU rRNA
Rfam family: Bacterial small subunit ribosomal RNA
Source: RNAcentral
AAAAACUCCGGUGGUAUGAGAUGGGCCCGCGUCUGAUUAGCUAGUUGGCGGGGUAACGGCCCACCAAGGCGACGAUCAGUAGCCGACCUGAGAGGGUGACCGGCCACAUUGGGACUGAGACACGGCCCAAACUCCUACGGGAGGCAGCAGUGGGGAAUAUUGCACAAUGGGGGAAACCCUGAUGCAGCGACGCCGCGUGAGCGAUGAAGUAUUUCGGUAUGUAAAGCUCUAUCAGCAGGGAAGAAGAUGACGGUACCUGACUAAGAAGCCCCGGCUAACUACGUGCCAGCAGCCGCGGUAAUACGUAGGGGGCAAGCGUUAUCCGGAUUUACUGGGUGUAAAGGGAGCGUAGACGGCGGUGUAAGCCAGAUGUGAAAGCCCGGGGCUCAACCCCGGGACUGCAUUUGGAACUGUAUGGCUGGAGUGUCGGAGAGGCAGGCGGAAUUCCUAGUGUAGCGGUGAAAUGCGUAGAUAUUAGGAGGAACACCAGUGGCGAAGGCGGCCUGCUGGACGAUGACUGACGUUGAGGCUCGAAAGCGUGGGGAGCAAACAGGAUUAGAUACCCUGGUAGUCCACGCCGUAAACGA